RNAcentral lists this non-coding RNA (766 nucleotides) under Gilpinia sp. 2 GYN-2022c. Lineage: Eukaryota; Metazoa; Arthropoda; Insecta; Hymenoptera; Diprionidae. The record is from RNAcentral.
UUAAAGUUUGAUUUUGGUUUUAAUAUUAAUGUUAUUAUUUUUUUGCAUGUAAAUUUUUAAUUGAUUAAAAAUGAKUAUUGCAGCAUUURAUUUCAACAAUUAAAGAAAUUUAAAAUUAUAAAUCAUGUAUUUAAAUACAGACAAAAGAAUUGUGUGAGAAUCAUAGGCGGUMUGAUAAMURUCAAUUAURMUGAUCAAUUAWUGAAUUAYAUUAAAUUWUAUAUAAWUAGAGWAAAUUUUAUGGUGAAAUUAAAUUUUUUUAUUAUAUAUAUAUAUAUAUAUAUAUAUUANUUUAUGAAAUCUAAAUUUUAAACUAGGAUUAGAUACCCUAUUAUUUYAGAUGUUAAUUUUUAUUUUAAUAAUUAAUAGUUAUGUUCUUUAAAAUUGAGAAAGUUGGCUGUAUUUAMAACYAAUUAGGGGAAUUUGUUUAUUAAACGAURAUCCGCGAUAAAUCUUACUUUAAUUAAUUAAAUUUAUUUAUUUUCGUUAUCAGAAUAUUUUUUAGGAAUUUAAAUUUUCAUAAAAUUUUAUAAAAUUUUAUUUCAGAUCAAGAUGUAGUUUAUAUUAAAGWUUAAAUGAAUUACAAUAAAAUUAUUAUUUUUGAAUAUUAAAUUGAAAUAUUUAAUUGAAAUUGGACUURAUAGUAAAAUUUUAAAUUAUAAUUAUUUGAAUUUAGAAUUAAAUAUGUACAAAUUGYCCGUCACNMUCAUUAWAAAAUGGGAUAAGUCGUAACAAAGUAAAUAUACUGGAAAGUGUAUUUAGAAUU